Molecule: ribosomal RNA, 691 nt
Filed under: Microbacterium sp. YIM 64575
Lineage: Bacteria; Bacillati; Actinomycetota; Actinomycetes; Micrococcales; Microbacteriaceae
Description: bacterial SSU rRNA
Rfam family: Bacterial small subunit ribosomal RNA
Source: RNAcentral
AACGGUGAACACGGAGCUUGCUCUGUGGGAUCAGUGGCGAACGGGUGAGUAACACGUGAGCAACCUGCCCCUGACUCUGGGAUAAGCGCUGGAAACGGCGUCUAAUACUGGAUAUGUGACGUGAUCGCAUGGUCUGCGUCUGGAAAGAAUUUCGGUUGGGGAUGGGCUCGCGGCCUAUCAGCUUGUUGGUGAGGUAAUGGCUCACCAAGGCGUCGACGGGUAGCCGGCCUGAGAGGGUGACCGGCCACACUGGGACUGAGACACGGCCCAGACUCCUACGGGAGGCAGCAGUGGGGAAUAUUGCACAAUGGGCGCAAGCCUGAUGCAGCAACGCCGCGUGAGGGAUGACGGCCUUCGGGUUGUAAACCUCUUUUAGCAGGGAAGAAGCGAAAGUGACGGUACCUGCAGAAAAAGCGCCGGCUAACUACGUGCCAGCAGCCGCGGUAAUACGUAGGGCGCAAGCGUUAUCCGGAAUUAUUGGGCGUAAAGAGCUCGUAGGCGGUUUGUCGCGUCUGCUGUGAAAUCCGGAGGCUCAACCUCCGGCCUGCAGUGGGUACGGGCAGACUAGAGUGCGGUAGGGGAGAUUGGAAUUCCUGGUGUAGCGGUGGAAUGCGCAGAUAUCAGGAGGAACACCGAUGGCGAAGGCAGAUCUCUGGGCCGUAACUGACGCUGAGGAGCGAAAGGGUGGGGA